UACGUAGGGCGCGAGCGUUGUCCGGAAUUAUUGGGCGUAAAGAGCUCGUAGGCGGCUGGUCGCGUCUGUCGUGAAAUCCUCUGGCUUAACUGGGGGCUUGCGGUGGGUACGGGCCGGCUUGAGUGCGGUAGGGGAGACUGGAACUCCUGGUGUAGCGGUGGAAUGCGCAGAUAUCAGGAAGAACACCGGUGGCGAAGGCGGGUCUCUGGGCCGUUACUGACGCUGAGGAGCGAAAGCGUGGGGAGCGAACAGGAUUAGAUACCCUGGUAGUCCACGCCGUAAACGUUGGGCACUAGGUGUGGGGGGCCUUUUCCGGGUCUUCCGCGCCGUAGCUAACGCAUUAAGUGCCCCGCCUGGGGAGUACGGCCGCAAGGCUAAA
Molecule: ribosomal RNA, 379 nt
Filed under: uncultured bacterium
Lineage: Bacteria
Description: bacterial SSU rRNA
Rfam family: Bacterial small subunit ribosomal RNA
Source: RNAcentral